Non-coding RNA from Jackrogersella minutella, 124 nucleotides. NCBI's taxonomy places the organism in Eukaryota, Fungi, Ascomycota, Sordariomycetes, Xylariales, Hypoxylaceae. The record is from the annotation of a GenBank genome assembly.
GGCGCAGUGGCGGAGUGGUUAUCGCGCAAGACUAGAAUCUUACCAGAACCAAGAAUCCUAUCUAGUUCUAUUAGAAGCUGAUCUUGUUCCUUCGGGAGCGUCUGUUCGAAUCAGGCCUGCGUCG